GACGGAGGGUGCAAGCGUUGUUCGGAAUCACUGGGCGUAAAGCGCGUGUAGGCGGUGCGAUAAGUCGGACGGGAAAGCCCGGGGCUUAACCCCGGAAGGGCAGCCGAAACUGUCGAGCUUGAGUACGGGAGAGGGAAGCGGAAGUCCUGGUGUAGAGGUGAAAUUCGUAGAUAUCAGGAGGAACACCGGGGGCGAAGGCGGCUUCCUGGACCGAUACUGACGCUGAGACGCUAAAGCGUGGGAAGCAAACAGGAUUAGAUACCCCGGGAGUCC
Molecule: ribosomal RNA, 273 nt
Filed under: uncultured bacterium
Lineage: Bacteria
Description: partial 16S ribosomal RNA
Rfam family: Bacterial small subunit ribosomal RNA
Source: RNAcentral